Molecule: unclassified non-coding RNA, 337 nt
Filed under: soil metagenome
Description: partial contains 5.8S ribosomal RNA, internal transcribed spacer 2, and large subunit ribosomal RNA
Rfam family: 5.8S ribosomal RNA (bases 1-120)
Source: RNAcentral
GAUGAAGAACGUAGUGAAAUGCGAUAGGUAAUGUGAAUUGCAGAAUUCAGUGAAUCAUCGAAUCUUUGAACGCACAUUGCGCCCCUUGGUAUUCCAUGGGGCAUGCCUGUUCGAGCGUCAUUUGUACCUUCAAGCUCUGCUUGGUGUUGGGUGUUUGUCUCGCCUCUGCGUGUAGACUCGCCUCAAAACAAUUGGCAGCCGGCGUAUUGAUUUCGGAGCGCAGUACAUCUCGCGCUUUGCACUCAUAACGACGACGUCCAAAAGUACAUUUUUACACUCUUGACCUCGGAUCAGGUAGGGAUACCCGCUGAACUUAAGCAUAUCAAUAAGCGGAGGA